This 498-nucleotide ribosomal RNA is filed under the name uncultured bacterium. Its description in RNAcentral is "partial 16S ribosomal RNA". It matches the Rfam family "Bacterial small subunit ribosomal RNA", at positions 28 to 523 of the family's 1533-position model. The record is from RNAcentral.
GAUGAGCGCUAGCGGCAGGCCUAAUACAUGCAAGUCGAGGGAGAAUGUUGGAUUCGUCUGACAUGAAACCGGCGCACGGGUGCGUAACACGUAUGCAGCCUACCUUUAACUGGGGUAUAGCUCAGAGAAGUCUGAAUUAAUCCCCCAUAAGACUACGACAUGGCAUCAUGAUGGAGUUAAAGCUCCGGCGGUUAAGGAUGGGCAUGCGGUACAUUAGCUAGUUGGUGAGGUAAUGGCUCACCAAGGCUACGAUGUAUAGGGGGUCUGAGAGGAUGAUCCCCCACACUGGUACUGAGACACGGACCAGACUCCUACGGGAGGCAGCAGUAGGGAAUAUUGGUCAAUGGACGCAAGUCUGAACCAGCCAUGCCGCGUGAAGGAUGAAGGCCCUAUGGGUCGUAAACUUCUUUUAUUAGGGAAGAAAAAACGGGAUGCGUCCUGUACUGACGGUACUUAAUGAAUAAGGAUCGGCUAACUUCGUGCCAGCCGCCGCAGUAA